AUAGCAAAUGGCGGCAAGUAGCAAUAACGAAACACGUUUCGCUUCGUCCUCACUCUUUCAAACCCUAAUUCUAUCAUUUCAUCUUCCCCUUUCUCUCUACCAAAUUCUCCCCAAAUUUUCGUUACCACCUUCUAUGGAUGCUACGAAAAUCUCUGGCAAUUAGAAAUCGAAGAUCUCACACUCAACCUCCCGGUAAAUACCACUAGCUGCAGGAUUUCGCAUCCUAAACAGAAAAGUGUUGUACUUUUUUUCAUUCCUUGCGGUGUGCUUGUUUCACAUUUGAGAAAGAAUAGUUGACGAUACAAAAGUAGGCUAGUUGUUGAUCUCCUGUCACUCUGGCGGCAAUCCCAUCUGGUGUUGGGACAGUUUGAUCUUCAAUAUUAGCUUUUGCUGCCGGCUCACAUUCUUCAAUUUUGGUGUUGGGAUGGAAGCAGACUGUGGGUUCCAGGCAACAAGGGCCUUAGACUGGUCACCUUCAUGUUCUUGCAUGUGGUUCUGUAAACUCUUCGCAAACACUUCGAGAUUGACAUUGAUAGUAGGAAUUUCAUCAGGAUCCUCCCAAAAGAAGUCCUCAAUGUCACUUUCUAAUGCUUCCAUACUCUGUUCUGGUGUUGCUGGUUCUUCAAUGAUUGGCUCACACGGCCUACUUUGAGGACACACUUCAAUGCUCGUGUUGUUCCCAGGGAGAGGUAGGAUCACUGGGUUUAAAUUUGGAGGGUUUCUCUCAUCUGCAAUGGGAACAGGCAUGCUCACAAUUUGCUUCUCUUCUGGUCCUGGCAAGGCAAGCCGUGCACUGUACUGAAAGAGUUAGUCGUCUUAUAAAAAUAUGAUAAGUCUGUCAUGCUCUUCAUACUAGAAUACUGUCGCUGAAAGUAACAACUCAUUAAAUUGACAUGUCUAUUUUUACACGUUAGUCUUUGUCCUUUUAAACUGGCUAUGACUUUAAAGUUUCAGAUGCAAUUUUAAAGACUUUUGUGACCUGAUUGUUUUGUGUGAAAGAAAAUGAAAUUGGUUGAUAUGUAGCUUCAAAUGCAUUUUGCAUUAAGUUGAUUACAAUAUGUAAUGCAACUGACAUACUGAGUAACUAACCUUGCAAAAGCACUGGCAAAAUGUCUGCACUCUGCUCGCAUUGGGCAUGCAUUGCAAUUUGGUUUUUUCUUUGUGCAGAAAACCUACAUAUUUGGAACAUGAAUUACUUUUAACCUCUUCUCUCAAGGUUGUGGAGCAAAGCUAGUUCCAAAACUAUGUUUUUUGUGAAUACCAUAUUAAAUGUAGAAGGAAGUUACGCAUACCUUCCCAAAUGUAAUCAUCUGAGUUUAGGGAAGUUAUGAUAUUACAAGGUUCUUUGAUCAAGUUUGCACAAUCUUGGCCAAAGAUACUUUUGAAUAGACUCUAGCACUGGAUACCUGCACGAAACGUUUUUCAGGAAGUGGUUGGAGAGGAACCCAUCCAAGUCUAACGGCUAUCCUUCCAACAUUGGUGUCAACCUUCGAGGCAUGAGCAUGGCAAUGUUAUUGCAAGGGUUUUUAAUGAUUUGCAUACUAGUAAGCAGGAAACGGAUUUCAAAUUAGCCUUACUGGGAAAGCAAGAUGAUGAAGUGUCAGAAGCCGUACACAUUCCACACUUUUUAACCCCAACCCUCUCAUGCUUAGCAGAUAGUCCCUGCAUUUGAAAUUGUAUAUGGAAGCCAGUAGAAAGGACAUGGUUAAUUUGCAUUAUAUUCUGUUAUUUGCUGGCAGUGUCUGCUAAAUAGAAACUUUCUUAGAAGGACAUUGGUUAAUGGUGAUAAAAGAUUAUGGCUUACUUUACUUUAUCAGGGGGAGCAUGUCUUAACCAUUCAAGGUCAAUGCUUCCAUGUUCUCUAACCAGUCUAUUCAGGAAUUCCUGACAUAACAUAGAAGUUCUAUAGCUCAGUAUUAUUUUAUUUUAGUUAAAAAUCAGUGUUAUACAAACUUGAGUGGUUGAAUAUACCUUGAUUCGUUCAGCUAGCAUGUUGUUCAUUCCUCGCUCUUUGAUUGCAUCAGAUAUCUCUUUAACAGAGGCACAUCUUAUUGCUUCAUAGUCCAGUGAAUCCAUAGUAUCCGUGUUUCUUUCUAUCUUUGUCCCAUUUUCUUCUACCACCUUCCUUAGUUUGUCCCAGUCAUCUUCAUGCUUUUUGUUGGCCUCAGGCUUCGUUUUUCUUUCUUUUCGAACCUUGAGUUUUCCCUCUUUGUCUUUUUGGCCUGGAGAAACUCGCUUCUUUGCCUUCUUUUCAGCCUGAAUAUUAUCAGAGCAUACCUGUCUGGUUUCCGUGGAUAUAAUUUUUUCACUGUCAAAAACUUCUUCUGCACAUGUUAAUAUAUUGCUGUGAUCGUUCCCUGCAUGAUCUUCGCCACAUAUGUGAGAAUUAUUUGAUGAUUCUGCACAUGUCUUGCCCUCUGAUUGGAAGGUUUUCUGACUCACAAGGUGAUGGUUAGGUGAAGGUUGAUUAUAGUUUGUAUGAGAUCUAGAUUGCGAAGUAUCUCCUAUAAAGGCUGAGUACUUGCUUAAUGGUCUGUAAGAGUUCAUAGUUGGUAACUCUGGAGACCCCAAUGUUCCAUUUCCAUGCUGCAUUUCAGUGGGUUUAUCCACACUCUCUCCAGUUCCGUUGAUGCCAAAUCUCAUAUAACUGUUGUCUUGAAAUUCAUUGUGUAUAGAAAGAGUGUCAGGCCAAGAAAACUCCUCACCAUUAAUUUGAAAAGUAUCCAGACCUUGUAUGUACGAGUAAUAUGACUCAUAGUUUGUUGAAGGGGCUCCUGGCGGCUGUUGCUUUUUUGGAUUUCCAAAGCUGCAGGGAGGGCCAGAUGCCGAGUGGAAACUGGGAAUAUCAUUUCUGCCUACUCUUGAACUUUGUUUCACAUCAUGUUGCUGUAGCUUUCCAUUGGUUCUCUCUUCAAUUAGUGAUACCCCGUUUACACUAUGGUAAAAUUCCUGAAAGAUAGUGGUUAUUCCUACCUCUUGAGAAUUUGUUGAAGUUAAGAACUGAGCCUUGCUGUGUUCACACCCACUGUUACGUAAUUCUGAUUCUGAAUUGGAUCUAAUUCUGGUAUCUUGAGUAACUGAGGAAUCAAGAGAAUCUUGUGAUGAUAAGAAUUCUUCCUCUGAGCUAUGAUUAUUUGGCUUUAUUAGGCUCUCAUUUAUCCUUGAAGACUUACUGUCUCUCAAAAGAUCUUCUGUAUGACGUGGCAUCUCAAAGUCAAUAUAGUAGGUUGGUGGAUUUAAUUUUCCUCUUUCAUAUGAUCCUAUUAUGCCAGCUUGAUUUUCUAUGCAAUGUUGUGGCUCUUCAACCAAUGUGUGUGUGACAACAUCACUACUUUUUGACUUGAGAGGAAACCUUGCUGCUAGAGACAUAAAGGCAGAGCUGCAAAGAGAGGAAUGAAACAUAAUGUUUCAGUGGGGUUUGCACAACAUCUUGUACUAGCAUUGACAGUUUUGGCAAAACAACCUGAGUGGUGAAAAGUAGAAAACACCUUAUGCUAAUAUAUGAGCUUACCUUGAAAGAUGGUCUGAGACAUUCUGAGUGAGAAAAACACCAAUCACAGAAUCAACAACAGAUCCUUUCCACUUUGAAAAACGUCUAUCUCCUGCAUAGUAGAGUUUCUGACAAGGUUAUGGUUGAUUCCCUCUCCGAGAAGAAAGGAUUUGAUUCCUUUCCUUUCAAUAGAAGUGGAAUAUCAUCUGUGUUACUGGGUUGUCGGUGUCCUACGGCAAGGUCAUCCUGCUGACUGAUCAU
Molecule: long non-coding RNA, 3751 nt
Organism: Vicia villosa (hairy vetch)
Lineage: Eukaryota; Viridiplantae; Streptophyta; Magnoliopsida; Fabales; Fabaceae
Exons: 6
Source: RefSeq, a predicted model, not a curated record